AAAAUGUGUUGGUCUUUUAGCUCUUUUGUAAUUAAUUCUGGAUGUACCUCAGAAGAUUCUUAUGACUGUGGUGAUAAGAUGCUUUCCUC
Molecule: long non-coding RNA, 89 nt
Organism: Camelus ferus (Wild Bactrian camel)
Lineage: Eukaryota; Metazoa; Chordata; Mammalia; Artiodactyla; Camelidae
Rfam family: Taurine upregulated gene 1 conserved region 2
About the family: TUG1 (taurine upregulated gene 1) is a long non-coding RNA expressed in retina and brain.
Source: Rfam